RNAcentral lists this long non-coding RNA (204 nucleotides) under Mytilus galloprovincialis (Mediterranean mussel). Lineage: Eukaryota; Metazoa; Mollusca; Bivalvia; Mytilida; Mytilidae. The record is from RNAcentral.
AAAAUUGAGAAUGGAAAUGGGGAAUGUGCCAAAGAGACAACAACCCGACCAUAGAAAAAAAACACAACAGCAGAAGGUCACCAACAGGUCUUCAAUGUAGCGAGAAAUUCCCGCACCCGGAGGCGUCCUUCAACUGGCCCCUAAACAAAUAUAUACAAGUUCAGUGAUAAUGAACGCCAUACUAAUUUCCAAAUUGUACACAAG